UUUGUAAAGCGCCUGCCGCCCUCGCCACCUCGCCGUCGCGCCGAUAAAACUCUGAAAUAACGAGUUCUAUCUUCUGUCCACCAUGCGAUCGUGUACCGUGCACACCGUCAACCGCAGCGCGCCUCUCGCAAGAUCGCCCAAGAGCAACCUGCGCAGGAUCGAUCCCAUGAAGACCGACCUGGUGGUGCCCGAGAGGUCGCCACGAUUUUCAGUGUCGGCGCCCGUCGUCCCCUCCUCGGACACUUUCGACCCCUCCACCGACAGCCUGCACUCGGCCAUGAGGCCGAUCAUCAUGCUGGCCCAAUGCUUCUCCAUGCUUCCCGUGUGCGGUGUCACUAAGCCGGAUGCCUCGUAUCUUCGAUUCACAUGGCGCAGCCUGAAGAUCCUCUACUCAGGGGUCAUUUUCCUGGGCGUAUUCAUGUUGACGGUCUUCAACGUUCUGUGGAUGUUCACCACUGGGGUGAACUCCAGCAGAAUGACGACUUUCGCCUUCUACGCCACCACCCUGGUGACCGCGGUUCUGUUCGUGCAGCUCGCGAGACAAUGGCCCUGCCUGGCUCUUACCUGGGAGAAACUGGAACGCGAAUUCACUUCCCGACACAGGAGGGUCUCGAGAACCACUUUGGCGACUCGCUUUAAAAUCGUGACCACCGUUGUCAUGUUGCUCGCGUCAGUGGAACACGUCUUCGCCAUUCUGUCCACGUACAGCAGCGCGAUAGAGUGCGCGACGUCUCGUGGGUACACGGACAUUAUCGGUACUUAUUUCCAGGCGCAAUUUCCGCAGGUAUUCUCCAUGAUAUCAUACAGUCUCUGGAAAGGAAUUCUGAUGGACAUUGUAAAUGUUCUCAGUACAUUCUCGUGGAAUUUCGUCGAUCUGUUUCUCAUUCUCAUCAGCAUCGCUCUGGUGGAUCAGUUCAAGCAAUUGAACAGCCGCCUGAACUCGAUAAGGGGAAAGCACAAUUUCCUUGUUAAGGCGAUGCCGGAAUGGUGGUGGGCCGAGGCUAGGAACGACUACAAUCACCUGGCGACCUUAACGCGCAAAGUGGACUCCCAAAUCUCGAGCAUCGUUCUCCUGUCCUUCGCCACCAACCUGUAUUUCAUCUGCAUUCAGCUGCUGUUCUCCUUCAAUCCGAAACGCGGCGUCGUGCGGACGAUCUAUUUUUGCUUCUCUUUCGGCUUCCUGCUGGCGAGGACAACGGCGGUGUCCUUGUAUGCGGCUUCCGUUCACGACGAGUCACUCUUACCGGCGCCGAUCUUGUACAGCAUCUCCAGUUCUAGUUACGGAAACGAGGUCUCGAGAUUCUUGACGCAAGUAACGACGGAUAAUAUAAGUUUAACGGGGAUGAAGUUUUUCUCCGUGACGAGAAGCCUCGUGUUAACCGUCGCUGGAACCAUCGUGACUUACGAACUGGUUCUGGUACAGUUCAAUUCCGUCCAGCAAGUGGACCAGACGAACAAUACGAACGUUUGCGAGGUGAGGUAGAGAGAGAGAGAGAGAGAAACCGCUUGCGAGAAGGCUUUUGAAAGGACCUCAAACGUCUUGCGCCCCCGCUUCUCUGCAUCUGCAAAUCACGAGUCUUGAAGAAUGCCACGCAAUAUUUCAUGGUACCUUGUAUAUAAAUUCUAGUUUCCGUUAAAACUAAGCGAAGGUAUGUUUCUGGAUCGAAAGAGCCUUGAGGGAUGCGUUUCAAUGGAACUUAACGAUCGUAUUACGCACAGGAUAACGCACACUUAGACGUACGUCUACGACGGCGGAGAACACGCUGUCGUUCGCAGGAGUGAACUACGAAGGGUACCACACAUAAGUGUACUUUGUAAGGUGUCUCUCGAUGUGUUGUACAAAGUCUAUCGUAACUUGUGUGCAAUUAUUCUCAUCCGCUUAUGACGUACGUCGCGUCCCAACGAUUUUGUGAACGAGACAAGCAGGAGGGGAAUUUUAACAUAAAACCACGUACUCCAACGAUGUUAUUUAUUAGAAAAAUGUCCUGUACGAAGUAUUAAUCGAAAAUAUAUUUACGCAGAAAUAAUCACGGGAUAAAAAGAUCCCGUCGUAAAACCCGAAGUGCAUUUAUUUGUGAGCAUAUAUGAAUGAUGAAAAUGCGCGGACUAGCCUAUUGCAUUUAUUGAGAUACUCGAAAUAGCCGGAAGUUUGCUAUUUUUAAUAAAUAAAACACAUGAAGAAUUGCAAAAUAAUUAGCGAUUGGCAAUCGAUAAGAGAUACA
RNA transcript from Dinoponera quadriceps, 2222 nucleotides. It is a transcript of the gene named gustatory receptor for sugar taste 64f-like, with no coding region annotated. Lineage: Eukaryota; Metazoa; Arthropoda; Insecta; Hymenoptera; Formicidae. The transcript is spliced from 12 exons. The record is from RefSeq and is a predicted model, not a curated record.